RNAcentral lists this transfer RNA (72 nucleotides) under Dreissena polymorpha. RNAcentral describes it as "transfer RNA tryptophan (anticodon CCA)". It matches the Rfam family "tRNA". From Rfam's summary of the family: Transfer RNA (tRNA) molecules are approximately 80 nucleotides in length. Lineage: Eukaryota; Metazoa; Mollusca; Bivalvia; Myida; Dreissenidae. The record is from Rfam by way of RNAcentral.
GACUCUGUAGCGCAACGGUAGCGCGUCUGACUCCAGAUCAGAAGGUUGCGUGUUCGAAUCACGUUAGUGUCA